AGGGUGUCGGGCCUCUACGGUAGGUCCACUCGAAGCACUGUGCUGAUCGAUCUCUCGAGAGUGCUAGCUCGCAUGAAGACCUUCUGGAUGGCUGAUCUACUCCUCUCUUCGAAUCUCUCAGACUCUUCCAGAGCUGAAGAUAGAAUAUGAAGGAGGAUAUGGUGAUAGUAGAAGACAAAGAUGAGAACUCUCUUCUCUUUUUUCUCUCUUCUCAAAACCCUAGAAUUAGAUCUAGGUUUUUCACUCACCCAA
This 252-nucleotide long non-coding RNA is filed under the name Elaeis guineensis (African oil palm). RNAcentral describes it as "long non-coding RNA (EGUI_LNC065457)". Lineage: Eukaryota; Viridiplantae; Streptophyta; Magnoliopsida; Arecales; Arecaceae. The record is from RNAcentral.